Peromyscus leucopus (white-footed mouse) is the source of this 860-nucleotide long non-coding RNA. RefSeq lists it as uncharacterized. Lineage: Eukaryota; Metazoa; Chordata; Mammalia; Rodentia; Cricetidae. The record is from RefSeq and is a predicted model, not a curated record. The transcript is spliced from 5 exons.
GCCCGAGACCGGAAGGGGACUAAUUUUCCACCGGAAGGAGCGAGAAGUUGAGACCAGCAGCCAGACACCUGAUGCUGGCCCCUCUUGUCGCGUCAAGUUUGGCCAUUAUCUGGCCUCCUGUGGCGGCGGCGGCGGCGGUAGCGAUGCUGUCCCGGUAGGCUGGCUGGCGUGGCAGGCGUCAGAGGAAUGGGAGUAGAAGAGAUGGGAAUUGAUACCAGGGCCUCAAACAUGUGUGCAAGCCGAAGCCCCAGCCUUCACUGCUGUUAUUGUCUUAGGUAUGAGUUUGCUGAAAGCAGGGAGCAGUUGUUUCCAUGCUAUGAGUAUUCAGAGAUUAUGCAGCCACAACCUUGCCUUUGAUAUGCAUAAUUCAAGGGGAGCAGACACAGGCCAGUGGUUGUAAUAUCACCACUUGAGUAUUAUGUCAAUGGAUUGGUGUCAGCAGAAAACAAACAGUGACGUGAUGGGACACAGUGAACUUGACAAGAACCAUGCAGCCACAGCUCUUUGGAGUGGCAGUGGUGCCAGGUCAUCGGUACCCUCCUUGCUAAUGACAGGUGCUAAGGGUUUAUCAGCAGGUUGCAGCUGAGCAUGACCGUGAGGUAAACACUGCCCCUGGUUGAAAUUUAGUUUCAUCAGCUUCUGCAUGGGAUUGUAAGGACAUGGAAUAUAUCACAAAAUCCAGCAGGUUUCCCCUUUUAGAUUUAUCUUUUCUUCUUGAAGAAGAUAACAUGCUUAAACAAAGGUUCCUUAUGGUUAGUAACUGUGAUUCUUAAAGUUGGUCAACCCCUAGUUUAGGUAAAUUGUAAAUGCCAAAGAUCUAGAUAUCUUGUUAAAUUAAAAAAAGUAUUAAAAUCUUAACA